RNAcentral lists this ribosomal RNA (420 nucleotides) under bacterium. RNAcentral's name for it is "partial 16S ribosomal RNA". It matches the Rfam family "Bacterial small subunit ribosomal RNA", at positions 355 to 776 of the family's 1533-position model. The record is from RNAcentral.
UGGGGGAUAUUGCACAAUGGGCGAAAGCCUGAUGCAGCGACGCCGCGUGGGGGAUGAAGGCUUUCGGGUUGUACACCUCUUUCGCUAUCGAACAAGGCCCGCUUAGGGUGGGUUGAGGGUAGGUGGAGAAGAAGCGCCGGCUAACUACGUGCCAGCAGCCGCGGUAAUACGUAGGGCGCGAGCGUUGUCCGGAAUUAUUGGGCGUAAAGGGCUUGUAGGCGGCUUGUUGCGCCUGCUGUGAAAACGCGGGGCUUAACUUCGCGCGUGCAGUGGGUACGGGCAGGCUUGAGUGUGGUAGGGGUGACUGGAAAUCCAGGUGUAGCGGUGGAAUGCGCAGAUAUCUGGAGGAACACCGAUGGCGAAGGCAGGUCACUGGGCCAUUACUGACGCUGAGGAGCGAAAGCAUGGGUAGCGAACAGG